This 376-nucleotide ribosomal RNA is filed under the name uncultured bacterium. RNAcentral describes it as "bacterial SSU rRNA". It matches the Rfam family "Bacterial small subunit ribosomal RNA", at positions 524 to 898 of the family's 1533-position model. The record is from RNAcentral.
GACGUAGGGGGCGAGCGUUGUCCGGAAUUACUGGGCGUAAAGAGCACGUAGGCGGGUAAUUAAGUUAGGUGUGAAAGACCGGGGCUCAACCCCGGGGUUGCACUUAAAACUGGAUAUCUUGAGGGCAGGAGAGGGCAGUGGAAUUCCUGGUGUAGCGGUGAAAUGCGUAGAAAUCAGGAGGAACACCAGUGGCGAAGGCGGCUGCCUGGACUGACCCUGACGCUGAGGUGCGAAAGCGUGGGUAGCAAACAGGAUUAGAUACCCUGGUAGUCCACGCCGUAAACGAUGGAUACUAGGUGUGGGAGGUAUCGACCCCUUCCGUGCCGGAGCUAACGCAAUAAGUAUCCCGCCUGGGGAGUACGGUCGCAAGGCUGAA